Molecule: long non-coding RNA, 1892 nt
Organism: Oxyura jamaicensis (ruddy duck)
Lineage: Eukaryota; Metazoa; Chordata; Aves; Anseriformes; Anatidae
Exons: 2
Source: RefSeq, a predicted model, not a curated record
UACUGUUAAAGGGUUCAUUCUUAUUUUCAGUUUAAAUUCUGCAUUAUAAAUGCUAGCUAUUCCUUCAUCUUUCAAGGGACAGUGGAAGUUGGAACAUGGAAGGUGAAUCUGAAUUAGCAUUAUCUAAAUUUUUAUAAAUGUUUUAAAUGUGGAAAUUAAUUUAACAGAAUCCUGAACUGAAAUUUAAUUCAUUUCAUUUCCUAUUCUACAGUAAUUGAAAAUGUUAAAAGACUGUCAGUGAAAACAAUGUUCUGAAACUGCAAACUCAGUCAAUUAUCCUUGCAUGCAAACAGGCUCAGAUGCAGAAAUAUAAUGGCUUUGCCUCAGGCUGUAUUGUGUCUGCUGAGCAGAACAGUCCGGUAAUGAAAAGAAGCUCUUUAGUUUCUUUUCAGUAACUAAUUGGUGUAUAAGAUCUCUUCCAAAAAGCGUUCGUAUACUGCACUAAAAAUAUAAGUUAAAAUUAAAUGAAAAAAAAAAAAAAAAAAAGCUAAAAAUUAACUAAAUGAACAUAUCUCAGCCUAUGCAUAUAUUUCACAAGUAAUUUCGAACAGCACAGUCAGGUGACUAACCCCAAAGUAUUGUAAUCUGUGUAGCAUGCAUAGAAAAAACUAUUUGGAAAUAAAGUUAAAGUUGCAUAAUCAAGACCAAUAAAAUAAAAUAAAAUAAAAAGUUUCUAAAAGAAAGGUUCAAUUUAAACUUUAAUUUACUCUUGCAAUUGAACUAUGAUAGCAUCUUAAAUAAUGUGAAUGCUGAUGUUGUCAUUAUUCAUUUAUUUAUUUAUUUAUUUAUUUUUCCUGAAGGGUACCUACCUUUUGCUUCCAGUUUGUUCAAUACUGGCGUAAACCAGCCACAUUCUCAAAGCCAUGUUUUUCCUGUGCACUGAAUAAUACAUCUAUUCAGAUGAACAUGAUAAAGGGACAUUUUUAAAAAAUUGCACUCUGUGAAAAUCUAAAGGUUUUACAAGAUGAGCAUGAAUUUGCAUUCAUUCAGUUUUAAAGCAUACAAUAAAAUUCUAAAGUAAUCAUUCAAGAUUUUCAGUACAGAAUUCUUUUCUGGGGUUUUCUAUUGUGGUGAACUUACAAGCAUUCUUGUCUUUACUUACUUUUGUUUCUUCUGUACAGAAUGAAACUCAUUUUUUCAGUUUCUUAACCUAUUCAUUAACUACUUACAUAGUUCUAUCUCAUAGGACAGGUAAAGUGUCCAAUUGUAUGGUCUGAGAGCAGUUUGAUACAAUUAGUAUAUAAGGAAUUGCUGCUUCAAAACAAAAAGAUCCCAUGGUUAUUAUCUACCUAUUCCUGUGUACACAUGUAGUAUACAGAGAGCCAUAGAGUGAGUGGCUUGUUCCCAUGCUGUGUUUUUGCCUGCAACGAAAGUUCCAAGACCCCCAAAUGUAAGAAAAAAAUAUAUGAACUUAGAAUAUAUUUGUCUUAUAAUAGUCCUUAUUGUUAAGGUCAUAAGGUCAUUUACCACUUUUCACUACAAGAUGUUUUUGAUCAUCUAUAAGACUUAUGAAAUGAAGUGGUAAACAAAACAGGUACCAAAUAAUUCAGUAUUUAUGUUUUUGUUUGGUUUUGGCUGUGUCAGAAAAUAAGAGAAAUAUUUUGUUUGGUGAAUUUAAGCAUUGUGUCUCUGAAGAGUUAUAUUAUCCCAUGCUUUGGAGAUUAAAAUGCUGGUAUGUUGGCAUUUGUUCUGCAGUUUGCUGUUUUUCAGUCUCAGGAAAAUCUCCCUGAAUUUGUGAAGAUACAAUUUUUAGACAGGUGGAUAUUAGCUGAGCAAGCACAACUAUAUAAAUGAGCACACCAAAAUAUUUUUUUUUCUUUAAUUAACUCUUGUGGACUUUAAUUAGAAGUCCUGAACUGGGUUGGAGAUUAAUAGUUUGUCCAUCUGUACUA